RNAcentral lists this ribosomal RNA (203 nucleotides) under uncultured bacterium. RNAcentral describes it as "partial 16S ribosomal RNA". It matches the Rfam family "Bacterial small subunit ribosomal RNA", at positions 1299 to 1500 of the family's 1533-position model. The record is from RNAcentral.
UGCAGCUGCAACUCGAGUGCAUGAAGCUGGAAUCGCUAGUAAUCGCGGAUCAGAAUGCCGCGGUGAAUACGUUCCCGGGUCUUGUACACACCGCCCGUCACACCAUGGGAGUCGGGAAUGCCCGAAGCCGGUGGCCCAAUCUUUAAGAAGGGAGCCGUCGAAGGCAGGCCCGGAUGACUGGGGUGAAGUCGUAACAAGGUAUC